UAGUGUUGAAACACCAGUUCUGUACGAUCACUAAAGUUAAGCAACAUCAAGCCUGGUCAGUACCUAGAUAGGUGACUGCUUGGAAAUACCAGGUGUUGUAAG
This is a non-coding RNA of Acanthosepion pharaonis, 102 nucleotides long. Lineage: Eukaryota; Metazoa; Mollusca; Cephalopoda; Sepiida; Sepiidae. The record is from the annotation of a GenBank genome assembly.